GCCGAAGUGGCGGAAUGGCAGACGCGGCGGACUUAAAAUCCGCUGCCCGCAAGGGCGUGUGAGUUCGAAUCUCACCUUCGGCACCA
Molecule: transfer RNA, 86 nt
Filed under: Chloroflexota bacterium
Lineage: Bacteria; Bacillati; Chloroflexota
Description: tRNA-Leu
Rfam family: tRNA
About the family: Transfer RNA (tRNA) molecules are approximately 80 nucleotides in length. Their secondary structure includes four short double-helical elements and three loops (D, anti-codon, and T loops). Further hydrogen bonds mediate the characteristic L-shaped molecular structure. tRNAs have two regions of fundamental functional importance: the anti-codon, which is responsible for specific mRNA codon recognition, and the 3' end, to which the tRNAs corresponding amino acid is attached (by aminoacyl-tRNA synthetases). tRNAs cope with the degeneracy of the genetic code in two manners: having more than one tRNA (with a specific anti-codon) for a particular amino acid; and 'wobble' base-pairing, i.e. permitting non-standard base-pairing at the 3rd anti-codon position.
Source: RNAcentral